UACGGAAGGGGCAAGCGUUGUUCGGAAUCAUUGGGCGUAAAGGGCGCGUAGGCGGUCUUGUUUGUCUGCUGUGAAAGUCCACGGCUCACCCGUGGAGAGUCGGUGGAAACGGCAAGACUUGAGGCUGGGAGGGGUUGGUGGAAUUCCCUGUGUAGCGGUGAAAUGCGUAGAUACGGGGGAGAACACUCGUGGCGAAGGCGGCCAGCUGGCCCAGUCCUGACGCUGAGGCGCGACAGCGUGGGGAGCAAAC
RNAcentral lists this ribosomal RNA (250 nucleotides) under uncultured bacterium. Its description in RNAcentral is "partial 16S ribosomal RNA". It matches the Rfam family "Bacterial small subunit ribosomal RNA", at positions 524 to 773 of the family's 1533-position model. The record is from RNAcentral.